GACGAACGCUGGCGGCGUGCUUAACACAUGCAAGUCGAACGGAAUUUUCCUGGUUUUGUGCGGUACUUUAGUGGCGAACGGGUGAGUAACACGUGAGUAACCUGCCUUUGACUUUGGGAUAACUUCAGGAAACUGGGGCUAAUACCGGAUAACAUUUCCUACUGCAUGGCGUUCGUUUGAAAGGUUCGGCGUUUGUGGUUGUUCGCGCGGCUAAUCCGCCUGUUGGUGGGGUUGUGGCUUACCAAGGCUUUGACGGGUAGCCGGCCUGAGAGGGUGACCGGCCACAGAGGGAGAGAGAAAGGGGCAGGAGGCAUACGGGAGGAAGGAGUGGGGAAUAGUGGAAGAAGGGCGGAGGCCGGAUGGAGCAACGCCGCGUGCGGGAUGACGGCCGUCGGGUUGUAACCCGCUUUCGCCGGUGAGGAAGCGUGAGUGACGGUAAUGGGUAAAGAAGCAACGGCUAACUACGUG
RNAcentral lists this ribosomal RNA (468 nucleotides) under uncultured bacterium. Its description in RNAcentral is "partial 16S ribosomal RNA". It matches the Rfam family "Bacterial small subunit ribosomal RNA", at positions 28 to 507 of the family's 1533-position model. The record is from RNAcentral.